Long non-coding RNA from Nycticebus coucang (slow loris), 2009 nucleotides. RefSeq lists it as uncharacterized. The transcript has 5 exons. The record is from RefSeq and is a predicted model, not a curated record. Lineage: Eukaryota; Metazoa; Chordata; Mammalia; Primates; Lorisidae.
CCCUGAGAAAACAAGUGGGCAGUCCAGCUCUCCCAGCAGUGAGUGCAGACACCAUGCACCCUGGGCAGGGGGACGGGGCAUCUCACCACUGGGACGUCCUUGGAACUCUAGUGCAUUCACCCUUGGCCGGAUGUGGGGCCCAGCCAGCCCACUCCCAGGAUUCAGCUCAUCCUGCUCCAACCUUAUGCCAUUGAAGCACAAAUUCUGAAAACUUUGGGAAAUCCUGGGAGGCGUCCCCUGGGUGGUCACUACAAAGGUCCUGGAAAAAGAGAAGGAAAAGAAACGACCUUUACGUGACUUGAGCACAACGGGCAUUAGAAGGGAAGCCGUUCUGCACAGCAGUGAGGCAUCUGGGUGUUCCCAGGAUUCACAGAGGGGGAGACCACGCCAAAGUCCUGGGCGAGAAGAACUGAAUGCGGGCCCUCGUGCGUGAGAAUAGAUACAGAGGUUCUGCCAGCCCCUCAGACACCAGUCUCAUCUCAGCACUGUCUUCACACACAAACUGGGUUCUUUCAUUCCAUCCUAUCCUCGAAGUGCAGGCUGUAGUGUGGCAAGAGACUAAGACACGUUAUCACCUGUGGAGCUGGAGCAAGAGUUGACCCCAGGGACUCAGAGCUUGGUGUCCUGCCCUGAGCAGCCAAACACACUGUGUCCCAGUUCUGAAGCCGCUGCUCCUGAGCUCCUCAAGUCAGCACCUUUUGGUCCUAGCAUCCGGCACUCCCUCCCUCAUGACCUCACCUCUGCCCUGUGUUUUCUGCAGUCCAUAUCUCUGCCCUGGACUCUGGACUUGACUGUCUAACUAUGGGCAUCUCUGCUUGCUUUCUGGUGGGCUCUGAAAUGGCCUGUGCAGAGCAGAAACUGCCUAAAGAGGGGUCUCUUCCUCUACACUGCACCCUGGUCUGCCCUCCCACCGACUGUCCUCCUCACCCCUGACUCCAUCUGGCCUGGAGGCCGCAGCCCAUCUCCUCUGGCCCCCAUCUUCUGCUUUGCACAGAGCAAUCAGAGUGGGCUUUGAAAUGUCAACCAGUGCGGGACCCCAGCUCUCUCAAGCCCAUAGGCCCUACCACUGUGCCCACCUGCUCUGGGCAGGCUUUUCUUCCCACUCCUCAAACCAGACAGAGCAGACCCAGUCUGCGCGUCUCUGCCUCCCUCUGCCUCGGGUCCCCUUCCCCACUUCUAAAAGUGUUUUUUUCCCCCCACAUUUAGUUCUAGCUAAACUGCCAUUUUCUCAAAGAGAAUUUCCUACCUUUCUGCUUAUUUAUCUGCCUAAGUUUUCUGUCUAAUCACUAGCCACCCCCUGCAAUCGUAAUGAAUUAUUGAAUUAAUCUUAUUCCUUACUGUCAUACCUCCUCAGUGAAUGAAAAAGCGGUGGCAGGAAGGGCUUUGCCUAGAGCCACUCCUGGGACAUGGAGGCCUUCGGUGAAGACUUGCUCAGACUGAGUCCCUCUCCCUGCCACACUGUUUGUGCCUGAAAUCAGGAAUUUGCUGGCCUAAUCUUUGUUCCUGGCACAUCCCAAGCCCUCGACAAAUGCAUGUUAAAUACAUAAAUGAAUAUAUAAAGAGCAUCAUUCACUAUUGUCCCUUCUUGUUAAAGUUUUUCUAAAGAGCUCUAUCCAAAUGGCUUUCACAUUACAUUCUUUUUGUCCAGGUCACCACUUCAGCUUUAUGAGUGACUGCUUGCUGAAAGCUCAUUAGCAAGAUUGCCUUUAAGUUUUAAGAACACACAAUCUCUGAAGCCUAAUAAAUUUCUUUCAAGACACAUGAAUCAGAUCCCAUGUUUCUGAGGAGAUACGCAGCCCACGCUGGGCCCUUAGGCGUGCAGGGCUCAUCCGGAACUUACUGAGUGAGCAAGAAAAUAACAUGCAGCCUCUCCCUCCUCAACUGCAUGUGUGGGAAGGUCACUCCCCAGAGGGCACAGGAGGCCAGGGGCUCUAUUCAGAUCCUUGGGCUUUUCAGUUAAUGCACUAGUGAGAGUGAAAUGGCGUUCUAGGCAGAGGGCAGAGCAGGGG